Molecule: ribosomal RNA, 497 nt
Filed under: uncultured bacterium
Lineage: Bacteria
Description: partial 16S ribosomal RNA
Rfam family: Bacterial small subunit ribosomal RNA
Source: RNAcentral
GAUGAACGCUGGCGGCGUGCCUAAUACAUGCCAGUCGAGCGAACAGAUGAGGAGCUUGCUCCUCUGACGUUAGCGGCGGACGGGUGAGUAACACGUGGAUAACCUACCUAUAAGACUGGGAUAACUUCGGGAAACCGGAGCUAAUACCGGAUAAUAUAUUGAACCGCAUUGUUCAAUAGUGAAAGACGGCUUUGCUGUCACUAAUAGAUGGAUCUGCGCCGCAUUAGCUAGUUGGUAAGGUAACGGCUUACCACGGCAACGAUGCGUAGCCGACCGGCGAGGGGGGUCGGCCACACGGGAACUGAGACACGGACCAGGGGCCUACGGGAGGCAGCAGUAGGGAAUCGUACGCAGUGGGGGGGAGUCUGGCGGAACAACGCCACGUGAGUGGUAAAGGUCUUCGGAUCGUAAUACUCUGUUAUUAGGGAAGAACAAAUGUGUACGUAAAUAUGCCCGUCUUGACGGUACCUAAUCAGAAAGCCACGGCUAACUACGUG